Molecule: ribosomal RNA, 253 nt
Filed under: uncultured bacterium
Lineage: Bacteria
Description: partial 16S ribosomal RNA
Rfam family: Bacterial small subunit ribosomal RNA
Source: RNAcentral
UACAGAGGUGGCAAGCGUUGUUCGGAAUUACUGGGCGUAAAGGGCGCGUAGGCGGUUCGUUAAGUCCUGUGUGAAAUCCCCCGGCUCAACUGGGGAACUGCACAGGAAACUAGCGGGCUUGAGUUCGGGAGAGGGAAGCGGAAUUCCGGGUGUAGCGGUGAAAUGCGUAGAUAUCGGAAGGAACGCCGGUGGCGAAAGCGACGUGCUGGACCUCUUCUGACGCUGAGGCGCGAAAGCUAGGGGAGCAAACGGG